GUGGAUUAGAUACCCUGGUAGUCCACGCCGUAAACGAUGGGUACUAGGUGUUGGAGGAUAUUGACCCCUUCAGUGCCGAAGCUAACGCAUUAAGUACCCCGCCUGGGGAGUACGGCCGCAAGGCUGAAACUCAAAGGAAUUGACGGGGACCCGCACAAGCAGUGGAGCAUGCUGCUCAAUUCGAUGCAACGCGAAGAACCUUACCUGGGCUUGACAUCCGGGGAAUCCCUUGGAAACAGGGGAGUGCCUUCGGGAACCCCGAGACAGGUGCUGCACGGCCGUCGACAACU
This 290-nucleotide ribosomal RNA is filed under the name uncultured bacterium. RNAcentral's name for it is "partial 16S ribosomal RNA". It matches the Rfam family "Bacterial small subunit ribosomal RNA", at positions 773 to 1060 of the family's 1533-position model. The record is from RNAcentral.